AUGGGAAGCAGAGAUGACGAUGGCCAAAGCACAGAAGGCCAGGGUUAUGCCGCGGACAUUAAUUCCAUCAGGGAGGCGCAGACGCGCAUCGCGCCAUACGUGCACAAGACGCCCAUUCUGUCAUCAACGUCUAUCGAUGCCAUAGCAGGGAAGCAGUUGUUCUUUAAAGGGGCAUUCAAGAUUCGAGGGGCAUCCAAUUCAAUAUUUUCCCUUGAUGACAACCACGCAGCCAAGGGCGUUGUGACGCAUAGCAGUGGGAACCAUGCUGCUGCUGUGGCACUGGCUGCAAAGUUGCGUGGCAUACCUGCUUACAUUGUCAUACCCAAAAACGCGCCAGCAUGUAAGGUUGAGAAUGUUAAGCGUUAUGGUGGUCAGGUUAUCUGGAGCGAUGUCACCAUGGAAUCAAGAGAAUCUACAGCUAAAAGAGUCCAGGAAGAGACUGGUGCUAUUCUUAUUCAUCCAUUCAAUGAUAAGUACACCAUCAGUGGUCAGGGAACUGUGUGCCUUGAACUUUUGGAGCAAGUCCCUGAGAUCGACACGAUAAUUGUUCCAAUUAGUGGUGGUGGUUUAAUUUCGGGUGUGGCACUGGCUGCAAAGGCCAUCAACCCUUCAAUACGUAUUCUGGCAGCAGAGCCAAAGGGUGCUGAUGAUUCAGCCCAGUCCAAGGCUGCUGGAAGGAUCAUCAAACUGCCUGCAACCAACACCAUUGCUGAUGGACUACGAGCGUUUCUUGGUGACUUGACAUGGCCGGUGGUGCAUGACUUGGUGGACGAUGUCAUCGUCGUGGAUGACAAUGCCAUUGUUGAUGCCAUGAAGAUGUGCUAUGAAACGCUGAAGGUGGCUGUGGAGCCUAGCGGAGCCAUUGGCCUUGCCGCUGCCCUCUCUGACGAGUUCAAGCAAAGCUCCAUUUGGCAUGAGAGCAGCAAGAUAGGGAUCAUUGUUUCUGGCGGCAAUGUGGACCUCCGUGUGCUCUGGGAAUCCCUAUGUAAAUGA
This 993-nucleotide ribosomal RNA is filed under the name Triticum aestivum (bread wheat). Its description in RNAcentral is "partial small subunit ribosomal RNA". The record is from RNAcentral. Lineage: Eukaryota; Viridiplantae; Streptophyta; Magnoliopsida; Poales; Poaceae.